This 450-nucleotide ribosomal RNA is filed under the name uncultured bacterium. Its description in RNAcentral is "bacterial SSU rRNA". It matches the Rfam family "Bacterial small subunit ribosomal RNA", at positions 354 to 796 of the family's 1533-position model. The record is from RNAcentral.
GUGGGGAAUUUUGGACAAUGGGCGCAAGCCUGAUCCAGCAAUGCCGCGUGUGUGAAGAAGGCCUUCGGGUUGUAAAGCACUUUUGGCAGGAAAGAAAUAGUGCGUGCUAAUACCAUGCGCGAAUGACGGUACCUGCAGAAUAAGCACCGGCUAACUACGUGCCAGCAGCCGCGGUAAGACGUAGGGUGCAAGCGUUAAUCGGAAUUACUGGGCGUAAAGCGUGCGCAGGCGGUUUUGUAAGACAGGUGUGAAAUCCCCGGGCUCGACCUGGGAACUGCACUUGUGACUGCAAGGCUAGGGUGUGUCAGAGGGAGGUAGAAUUCCGCGUGUAGCAGUGAAAUGCGUAGAGAUGCGGAGGAACACCGAUGGCGAAGGCAGCCUCCUGGGAUAACACUGACGCUCAGGCACGAAAGCGUGGGGAGCAAACAGGAUUAGAAACCCGAGUAGUCC